This 441-nucleotide ribosomal RNA is filed under the name uncultured bacterium. Its description in RNAcentral is "partial 16S ribosomal RNA". It matches the Rfam family "Bacterial small subunit ribosomal RNA", at positions 338 to 795 of the family's 1533-position model. The record is from RNAcentral.
CCUACGGGCGGCAGCAGUGGGGAAUAUUGGGCAAUGGAGGAAACUCUGACCCAGCAACGCCGCGUGAAGGAUGAAGGUCUUCGGAUUGUAAACUUCUGUCGCGAGGGACGAAGAAUGACGGUACUUCGUAAGAAAGCCUCGGCAAACCACGGGCAAGCAGCCGCGGUAAUACGUAGGGGGCGAGCGUUGUUCGGAAGGACUGGGCGUAAAGGGAGUGUAGGCGGCUCUUUAAGUUAUCUGUGAAAUCCCGCGGCUCAACCGUGGAAGUGCAUAUAAAACUGGGGAGCUGGAGUGCGGGAGAGGUGAGUGGAAUUCCUGGUGUAGCAGUGGAAUGCGUAGAUAUUAGGAGGAACACCAGUGGCGAAGGCGACUAACUGGACUAUAACUGACGCUGAGGCUCGAAAGCGUGGGGAGCAAACAGGAUUAGAUACCCGGGUAGUC